This 433-nucleotide ribosomal RNA is filed under the name uncultured bacterium. RNAcentral's name for it is "bacterial SSU rRNA". It matches the Rfam family "Bacterial small subunit ribosomal RNA", at positions 959 to 1392 of the family's 1533-position model. The record is from RNAcentral.
ACGCGAAGAACCUUACCCGGCCUUGACAUCUAUGGAAUCCUGCAGAGAUGUGGGAGUGCCUUCGGGAGCCAUAAGACAGGUGCUGCAUGGCUGUCGUCAGCUCGUGUCGUGAGAUGUUGGGUUAAGUCCCGCAACGAGCGCAACCCUUGUCCUUAGUUGCCAUCAUUCAGUUGGGAACUCUAAGGAGACCGCCGGUGACAAACCGGAGGAAGGUGGGGAUGACGUCAAGUCAUCAUGGCCUUUAUGGCCGGGGCUACACACGUGCUACAAUGGCAGGUACAGAGGGACGCCAACGCGCGAGCGGGAGCCAAUCCCAGAAAUCCUGUCGUAGUCCGGAUCGGAGUCUGCAACUCGACUCUGUGAAGUCGGAAUCGCUAGUAAUCGCAGAUCAGCAUUGCUGCGGUGAAUACGUUCCCGGGUCUUGUACACACCG